GAAGGGGAUUUGUUGAGUUCAAGUUGUUCCUCUGCUAGUUUUAGGAGGUAAGAGAGGUCUUUAUACUUGUUUUAUGGUUUUAACAGCUUUUAAAGAGGUUAAGGGUAGAGUUGCAUGUUUAGGUUUUAGAGUUUAGUUUUGAUGUUUUAAUGGUGAAAGCAUGAUUAUAUGUUGUGUUAGUUGUUUUGUUGGAGUUUAAGUUGUUUUAAGCUCCUUUAUGCUUGUUAAAGUGUUUAUGCAUGUUUUAGAGGGGUUAAAUGCAUGUAUUGAGGGCUGAGCAGGUGAUGGAGGGACUGGCAGGCGUCCUUGUGCACAAAACUGAGUUUUGGAUGAACUCAGGUUCGGCCGCCGAAAGUCCAAGUUAGGCC
RNAcentral lists this long non-coding RNA (368 nucleotides) under Manihot esculenta (cassava). Its description in RNAcentral is "long non-coding RNA (MESC_LNC011003)". The record is from RNAcentral. Lineage: Eukaryota; Viridiplantae; Streptophyta; Magnoliopsida; Malpighiales; Euphorbiaceae.